UACAGGGGGCUCGAGCGUUAGUCGGAAUCACUGGGCUUAAAGGGUGCGUAGGCGGCUCGCCAAGUGCUUUGUGAAAUCCCCGAGCUCAACUCGGGAACAGCAGGGCAAACUGGCGAGCUUGAAGUAGGUAGGGGCCGGAAGAACAGUAGGUGGAGCGGUGAAAUGCGUAGAUAUCUACUGGAAUGCCGAUGGGGAAGCCGUCCGGCUGGGCCUAUCUUGACGCUGAGGCACGAAAGCGUGGGGAGCAAACAGG
RNAcentral lists this ribosomal RNA (253 nucleotides) under uncultured bacterium. RNAcentral describes it as "partial 16S ribosomal RNA". It matches the Rfam family "Bacterial small subunit ribosomal RNA", at positions 524 to 776 of the family's 1533-position model. The record is from RNAcentral.